AUUGAACGCUGGCGGCAGGCCUAACACAUGCAAGUCGAGCGAGCGGCGGGCGGGUGAGUAAUGCCUGGAAAUUGCCCUGUCGAGGGGGAAAAAAGUUGGACACGACUGCUAAUACCACAUACGCAGGGAUUCCCCAGGUGGGAUUGGCUAGUUGGUGGGGUAAUGGCUCACCAAGGCGACGAUCCCUAGCUGGUCUGAGAGGAUGAUCAGCCACACUGGAACUGAGACACGGUCCAGACUCCUACGGGAGGCAGCAGUGGGGAAUAUUGCACAAUGGGGGAAAUCCUGAUGCAGCCAUGCCGCGUGUGUGAAGAAGGCCUUCGGGUUGUAAAGCACUUUCAGCGAGGAGGCGUUACUCGCAGAAGAAGCACCGGCUAACUCCGUGCCAGCAGCCGCGGUAAUAC
RNAcentral lists this ribosomal RNA (404 nucleotides) under uncultured bacterium. Its description in RNAcentral is "partial 16S ribosomal RNA". It matches the Rfam family "Bacterial small subunit ribosomal RNA", at positions 30 to 526 of the family's 1533-position model. The record is from RNAcentral.